ACCCCUGUGAGAAUGCCCUAACAGUUCUCUGCCCGAGAACAAGGAGCUGGUAUCAGGCACACCCGUGUAGCCCAUGACACCUUGUUUAGCCACACCCCCAAGGGAACUCAGCAGUGAUAGACUUUGAGCCAUAAGUGAAAACUUGACUUAGUCAAGGCUAAGAGGGCCGGUAAAACUCGUGCCAGCCACCGCGGUUAUACGAAUGACCCAAGUUGACAGACUCCGGCGUAAAGAGUGGUUAAGAUAAAUUGAAGACUAAAGCCGAACCCCCGCAAAGCUGUUAUACGCUCCCGCGGGCAAGAAGCUCAAUCACGAAAGUGGCUUUACACCAUCUGAACCCACGAAAGCUAUGGAACAAACUGGGAUUAGAUACCCCACUAUGCCUAGCCCUAAACAUUGACAGUACACUACAUUUAACUAUCCGCCCGGGUACUACGAGCAUCAGCUUGAAACCCAAAGGACUUGGCGGUGCUUUAGAUCCACCUAGAGGAGCCUGUUCUAGAACCGACAACCCCCGUUCAACCUCACCCUUCCUUGUUUUUCCCGCCUAUAUACCACCGUCGUCAGCUUACCCUGUGAAGGACUAAUAGUAAGCAAAAUUGGCACAGCCCAGAACGUCAGGUCGAGGUGUAGCGUAUGGAGGGGGAAGAAAUGGGCUACAUUCUUUAGUACAGAGAAUACGAAUGAUAUACUGAAACACAUAUCUGAAGGAGGAUUUAGUAGUAAGCAGGAAAUAGAGCGUCCCGCUGAAAUCGGCCCUUAAGCGCGCACAUACCGCCCGUCACUCUCUCCAAGCCCUACAGAUUUAAUUAACUAAAACCCCACUGACCGCGAAGGGGAGGCAAGUCGUAACAUGGUAAGUGUACCGGAAGGUGCACUUGGAAUAAU
RNAcentral lists this non-coding RNA (888 nucleotides) under Epigonus sp. CBM:ZF:14782. RNAcentral describes it as "partial 12S rRNA". It matches the Rfam family "Bacterial small subunit ribosomal RNA", at positions 307 to 1533 of the family's 1533-position model. The record is from RNAcentral. Lineage: Eukaryota; Metazoa; Chordata; Actinopteri; Acropomatiformes; Epigonidae.